CCUACGGGCGGCAGCAGUGAGGAAUAUUGGUCAAUGGGCGCGAGCCUGAACCAGCCAAGUAGCGUGAAGGAUGACUGCCCUACGGGUUGUAAACUUCUUUUAUAAGGGAAUAAAGUGAGGCACGUGUGCCUUUUUGUAUGUACUUUAUGAAUAAGGAUCGGCUAACUCCGUGCCAGCAGCCGCGGUAAUACGGAGGAUACGAGCGUUAUCCGGAUUUAUUGGGUUUAAAGGGAGCGUAGGUGGGUUGUUAAGUCAGUUGUGAAAGUUUGGGGCUCAACCGUGAAAUUGCAAUUGAUCCUGGCAGGCUUGAGUACAGUUGAGGUAGGCAGAAUUCGUGGUGUAGCGGUGAAAUGCUUAGAGAUCACGAAGAACUCCGAUGGCGAAGGCAGCUCACUAAAC
Molecule: ribosomal RNA, 399 nt
Filed under: uncultured bacterium
Lineage: Bacteria
Description: partial 16S ribosomal RNA
Rfam family: Bacterial small subunit ribosomal RNA
Source: RNAcentral